Molecule: long non-coding RNA, 11531 nt
Organism: Panthera uncia (snow leopard)
Lineage: Eukaryota; Metazoa; Chordata; Mammalia; Carnivora; Felidae
Exons: 2
Source: RefSeq, a predicted model, not a curated record
GCCCCCUCCCCCCGCCCCAGGCGGGCUCGGCGGGGCGCCGGGGGUCCCCGCUGCGCUUGACAGGCGGCCCCGGGCGCCCGGCGCUCGGGCGGAAACGGCAAAGUUCCCUCGGCGGCACCCACGCAGCCCGGGUCCCCGAGGGGCGCCGGGGUGUGCGUUUCUCUUUCGGAAGAGGAGGAAAGUUCGAGGGGAAGGGGGCGCGGGGCACGUCGGGCCCCCUUUGUGCGGCCAGGAAAGGCGUUGCGCCGGCCGCGUCCGAGGCGCGCCCCCACCCCCGGAAAGGGAAGUUUGAGAAGUUGCUUGGGCAUCCGAAGGAGGCAGGGGAGCCGCGCGGCCCGGAGCCGAGGCCGCCGAGCAGCCAGAGCAGCUGGCGCACCUGGGGUCGCCGCGGCCCGGGCCGAAGCCGCGCGCCCACCCGGGUCUGGCCGAGCCACCCCCCUUCAGUGGCCAGCGAGUCCAGCCUUCGCUCGGGGGAGGCGCCGCACGUCGCCCCAGGCCGGCUUCUCGGCCCGCAGUCGCUGUCUGCAAGUUUCAAGGAAAGAAACAAUUUCCCGAGGAAAGCUCUCUGGCCCCGCUGAUGGCUGGGCGUGGACGGGGAGGGGAGCAGGGAUGGUCAGGUGGAAGGCGGGGAAUUACGAACUCAGUGCCUACUAGGUGCUGGGUGCUGGAGAUGGGGCCUGGAGCAAGACAGCCCUGCCUUCCCUGAGUUGAUGGGUUCUGGAAAGGUUCGAUUCCUGACCGUCCGUACGCUUCCUAGAGGUUUCUGAAGGUGAAAAUUGCAGGAAUUGAGUUCUUACUGACUUGCUGCGGAAAGUGCGGAACCCCCGGGACCUUAAAAGUUAAAGUUUUUGCAGCUGUGAUUCCGACAACUGAGUGUCUGCAGCUGGGGUCAAGGUGAACUGAGUAUUUGGACCUUUCGAGGCCUCAGUUCCUUCAUCUGUAAAAUGGUUACAUUGGGAUAGUUUUACAUCCCUUUCAUUGGUAGCGCUUGUCGCUGCCUUUCCCCUUCGAUGAUUUGGAGAUGCCUUGUGUAGGUAGAUUUGGGACGAAGUGUAGAGGAUCUGACAGGCCACAUCACCUCCAGGUACUUGCUUGUUUUUCCCAAAGGGCCACAGGCAGACUUGACCUUUAUGUUUGUCCAGAAGAGAGAAGCACCGGGUUCUACAUGGUACCUUUCAGAGGAUUUGAAGUGGGUUGAGAACUUUUUAAAAUGAUGCCUCAUACGGAACGUGGCAUGGAGAUGGGAGUUUUCAGUGGAAUAAGGCAGAAGAACUGUUGUAAACAUAACGUCCUAACGCGCAUUUGAGUUUCAUAAGAUCCUAGUAUUUCAUUCUUGGAUGUUUUCCGACGUUGCAGCGCCACAAUGUUCAAGUGUCUCUGAUUAUAUUCCAGAUACUUAAAAACUGAACUAUAUUUUGCUAGUAAAGCUUUGAAACGGCACCCUUCAUUUUCCGAGUGCGUGAAAAGUCAUUAAAACUCUUCGUUUCCGAUUACGAAAGAAGGAAAUCAGCAGGCCCUGAUUUGGUUAGGUUUUGUUUACGAGGAUAAGAUUUAUGAAUUUUCAAAUUCCAGACCCAGUGGUUCAUGAGUCCAUUUCAUUUCAUCUGUAUACACAUUUUUAAACAAUUAGCUUAAGAGCCUAGUGGCUUUUCAUUCGGGCUUUUGAACAGUUUUGCAAAACCCACAGGUUUCCUAUUUUGAUGGAAUUAAAGUUUCCGAAUUUGAACUAAGGAAUCACUUUGAAUGUGGACUCAUUUGAAAUUAAAUUUUCAAGGAUAGUUGAAGGUUGAAGGUAGCCAUAAUGAAAACAAGAAACCUACCUUCCACUUGCAUUUUAAUUUUCCAUGUGAGUAAACGGUUUCAGGAUUUUUCUAAAGUAACUGGUAAACUGUCCAGGCUUUUUCAGAGCAUCUUAAUGUGUGAUAAGAUGGGAGGAAAUGAGAUUGUUUACCGUGUCUUGUUAGGUCACCUAAGUAAGUCCCAUCUUCUGUUUGGCAGACUGAUAAGUGGGCAGAGGAUUUCAGGAUAAGAACAAACUUCUCGAAGAAAUGUUCUUAAAUCCUGUUUUGUUUGUUUCGUAGACCCACUCUUCCCGAAUGCCCCAAAUUAAGUAAUUACUCUUUAGGGGAAAAUCUUAAAUGUCAAAAAACUCUUCAGAUCUGAAAAAUGCCGCUUGUACUUUUCAAAUCCCUAACAAGAGAUUUCUGUGGCGGUCUCAGUGUUGGUAAAAGUGUCACACAGAUAAACUUCUUUCCUAAAAUCAUGCUAUGUACUUACUUUGUCAAGGUCAGAGACUAGAGAUUGCUAGGCCCGGAAUUUGAUCUUUGGUCCUAUUGCUUUUCAGAAGACACAUUUAUACCCCUAGGCCACUUCCUUUAAUAACAGCUUACUUUUCACCAGUUAUGGUUUAUACAAAAAACUCAUCAUAGUUUGGAUUUAUUGCCUUUUAUCAAGGUAGCACCCCAUGGUGAUGAGUCCUCAUUACAGUCUGUGUAGCUAUCAUAACUGCUACAAGGUUGCCAUUUUAUUUUUUUAAAUGUUUCUUUAUUCUUGAGAGAGAGAGUGAGAGACAGAGAGAGAGAGAGGGAGACACAGAAUCUGAAGCAGGCUCCAGGAUCCGAGCUGUCAGCACAGAGCCGGACGUGGGGCUUGAACCCAGGAACCACAAAAUCAUGACCUGAGCUGAAAGUCAGACGCUUAACUGACUGAGCCACCCAGGUGCCGCACAUGGUUUCCAUUUUAAUUUACCAACCCUUUGUUAUCAAUGCUACUUUAAAAUUUUUUCUUUAUUUUUUUUAACCCGAAGUUUCCAAUUAAGAAAGCUACCUCAUUGGUGCCAUUGUAAAAAGUGGCCAGUACUCAUUCUGUCUUCUCAGUAUUUAUGGAGUAUGUUCUUGUGCCAGGCUCAGACCUGAAGACACUGUCCUGAAUGAAUAAGAUGAGACUUGGUCUUUGCUCUCAUUGAGUUUAACGUUUGGGAGGGUGUGAAAGGCCUCGUGCAAGGACUUUGAAAGGCCUCCAUGAACAAGGGCACAUAGUUUAACCCUGUGCACUUGGAGGCGUUAAUGAACCCUGGUGGUUUAUUUCCUAGACCCCUCUUUCAAAAGCCCAUUUGCUUGUUGAAUGCUCUUAUAGGAGUGCCUGUUGAAUGUUUGUUUGUUUUUCUCCGUCCCUCUGAACAUCUUUUCUUUCCAUUGAUCUGUCCUUUUCUAUACCUGCCAUGUUGUAGGUCCCCACUUGGGCCACCCUGGUUCCCCACUCUGUAGCCAUUGUGGUAGACCCAAUGUGCCCAUCCAGUCUUUCGAGGAUAGGCUUAGAGAUACAAGCUUUGGAAUCGAGGCCUCCUGGGUUCCAGAACCACCUCCUGCUUACUGGCUAUGGGGAUUAUGGAGCCAUGGUAAAGAUUAAAUGAAAUAAAGCUUUGAAGUGCUUAACACAGUGCCCACAGCAUAAUAAAUCCUCAAUAAAUAGCAGCUUUCAUUAUUAUUAAGUCCUCAAUCAGGCCUCACAAGAUGCUCCAUGAUCUGGUUGUCCUUUGAUUCUGAGACUUUGCAUCCCACCAAGUGUCACAUUUUCCCAAUGUACCCCUGUCAUCCUGUAUACACACGCCCUGAAUAGUUUAGCCCUUUUAGUUAGUGUCUUUGUUCAAGCUGCUCUCUGCUCACACCUCCGGCUCCCUGAAUAACUUUCCCUUGUCUUUAAGACUGCACUCAAGGGGCGCCUGGGUGGCUCAGUCGGUUGAGCGUCCGACUUCGGCUCAGGUCACGAUCUCACGGUCUGUGGGUUCGAGCCCCGCGUCGGGCUCUGGGCUGACAGCUCAGAGCCUGGAGCCUGUUUCAGAUUCUGUGUCUCCCUGUUUCUCUGACCCUACCCUGUUCAUGCUCUCUCUCUGUCUCAAAAAUAAAUAAACUUAAAAACAACAACAACAACACUUUGCUCAAGUGUCAUCUGCCUAAAGAAACCUCAACCCCAGGUUGAGCUAAGACCUUAGCACCCAGGAAAUGUUGACCUGAGCUGCUGGUACAAUCCAGGCCAAGCAUUUUAACAACCAGGCAAUCACUAUGUAUCGGGAGUUUGUCUGAAUGGUAAAAUCUUACUUUUCGUUAGAAUAGUUUUGGCUCCGGGGUGCCUAAGUGGCUCAGUUGGUUGAGCUUCUGACGUCGGCUCAGGUCAGAGUUUGUGAGUUUGGUUCAUGAGUUCAAGCCCCACAUCGGGCUGUCUGCCGUCAGCACAGAACCCACUUUAGAUCCUCUGUACCCCCCUCUCUCUGCCCCUCCCCUGCUUGCUCGCUCUCUCUCUCAAAAAUAAAUAAACAUUUAAAAAGGAAAGGAAUCGUUUUGGCUCUGAUCUAAGUGGGCAGUGUGGCUGUUUUUAUCCUAUGCCCUUGUUUUCUUAUUCUGGUGAGAUAUGGAAUAAGAGGCUUCAACUUCUGACAAGGCAUGAAGGAAAGUUCUCAUCCAGUCCCUUCAGCUAUGCAUUUUGAAUUAGCAUUAGGCAUUCUAAGCCCUUCCAAAACGUUAGGGUUUCCACCGAAGAAAUUCUCCAGUAAAUCCUGAAUUCUCUGUCCUUUUUUUUUUUGUUCUAGAAGGUUGUCGAAAGGAGACUUUCAUUAAAAAUGAAGUGCUGAAAUCUAAAUAUAGCUUUUAAGUUUCUUUUUUCAUCAGGGUUUUAUGUUUUGGUUUAUAAGCAGUGACGCAGAGUUGGUCUAAGGGCAGAGUGGCCCUCGAGCAGUCUCUGUGCUGCAGAGCUGUGUGGAUGUUAUUUAGGUCUGAUGCAAACCACCAAAACAGUUUAAAAUAGGGUGCAGAGGAAACCUACUUCCUGGCUAGAGCAUGGCAUUAUUUAGCCAAUUUCCACAUAAAAGCAUAACUCCGCUACCUUGUUACCUUCCGCUCUCUGGGUCCUCACUUACAGCUUUGGCCGAUUUAAGGCAUGAUUCUCAGGGGAAGUGACUUAGCAGAGAAGCAUUAGCAGUAAGAACACUCACCACGUGUUUUGUGCUACCUGUUUUCCGUGUCAUCUUGUGUCCCAUUCCCCCCCCCCACCCCCCCGCCGCCAUACUGUUGCUUCUGACCUGGGCACCUUGAUCAUUCUCCUUCCUUGCCUGGCAUGUCAGGAGGGUUUAGAAGGCCGAGCGGGCACAUUAGCUCAUCUCAGGGAGAAGUGGGGAGAAGGGAAACCAGCAUUUGAAAAUCUGCUCGCAGCCGGCUGCUUGACAUGGCUGAUCUAAUUUAAUCUUCAGAAGAAGCCUGCUAUCUUUAUUUAUAAAUGGGGAAGAUGGAGUCUGCUCAAGGUCACUCGAGGUUGAGGUUCAGAUCUUGAGCUCAAGCAUUCUGACACCAAAACGUUGCUUUUACAUCAUCCCCUGAUAACAGCAACUGAAGAUGUUCUGAUACCUGGCUACUCAACGCGUGGUCCAGAAUCUGCAUUUUAACAAGAUCCCGGGGUGAUUCAUGUACAUACUUGAGAAGUCCUGCUCCAGUAGCAUUAAAGCAUUUUGCACAGAGGAGUCAAAGGAUCUACAGUGAUUUUGGGAGAUCAGAUCAGACUUGCUUCUGCCACUGAGGAGGAGAAGGAUUCCAGGGGAGUAGUAGCUCCUGGUUUUCAGAGGGUGUUUUGAGUCCUCCCUAGCUACAAGACCCCCUUUAAACCGUAUGUAACUAACUAAUGCUCGGAGGCUAGCAGAGGCGAAUGCUCUGACAGUGCUUCAGGUCAAUUACUGAGUCAGUUUCGCCCUGUUUACCCAAAGCAUCUUCCAUGGCUCUACCCUUGACCAGCAACCAAGAUCCUAGGGAUCCAUUUCUCUGCUGAACUCAUGGCAUUUAUCACGUUUACUCAUUAGGCUUUUAAUCACAGACUACCUUGACAUUUGUAGGCCUUAAUUAAGAGCUAUCAUACCUUGGCAUUUCUGAAAGUGGGUAGCACUGUGCUGUAUAUAAAGUAUGUCCCCAGUAAAGUAAUGAAUAAAUGCCCGGUUUUUUGGGACAUGGUUCUCCUCUUCAACAUUAAAAAAAAAAAAAAAUCUUUUGCCUUGAGAAACUUAUUUGGUUGAUGCUGAGUGAGAACUCACUAAAUUUUUCUUGAAUCCAUCAACAUUUAUUUUAGAUGUUCUAAGCACCACCGUGGGCUUUUUCUGUGAUUGGUGUCUGUAUUUUAUUUACCAUAAGGCAGGUUUUUUUGCACCUUGGUUGCUUUCAUCUUUAAGAAUUUUGGGUCACUAGCAGUUACAACAACAACCAAUUCUCAUACCUCUUCCUGAUCUUAUUUUUUUCAAAUAACUUUAUCUUCUGACUUUUUUCUUCUUCUUGACAAUUGAACUGUAUUUGGCAAAAACCAAAAUAAACAAAAAACUGAAAAAACUUUCCACUGAAACUUGUAUCUCAUGUUGUUGCCUUUUAUAUCAAAUGUCAACUUAUUCAGCAGAAUAACUGUAAAUCUUAAUACCUCGAAUCUCUUAAGCAGAUGUUUAUUUACAACAGGAACCUAAUUACAUGAAAUGCAUAACCAUUUGCUUUCAUAUUUGCUCUUAAAUCAUGCUACCAUAAUGAAAAUCUGAACUCUUACCUUCUGCCGUCUGUAAGAAGCUCAGUGGUUUCUGCCCAUGGACACCCUCUGUCCCUUUUCUCUUUAAUAAACAGACUUCAUUUUGAACAGGUGACCCCUGCUAGAAAGCCUUCCAUGGAUCUUCUCUGUUGAUCUCGGGGAUUGAUUACACGGCCCUUGCUUUCUGUUUGAGGUCAGGCGCUGCAUCAGUAUCCUUGGUUCCUAAGACUCACUGAUGGUUCCUAAGACUCACAGGAUGGGUUUGAUGAUUGCAUGUGUGAAUGAGGCCAGUCCUCUCCCCCCAUUUCCCCUUCUUCUCUCAAGCAUGCUAUGGACCCUGGUUCCAUUCAGACUGGGUCUCCUCACACAUCCUUUUGCUUUUAGAUUUUCUAUGUUUGACUCUUCUGCUCCCCCACGUUUUCCCAUUCUCUACCCAUGUCCUACAACACCUCCACCAUGCUGAAAUAAUGCCUGACCAAAUGCCACUCCCUCUGUUGGGUUUUCAGUUUAUUAUCCCGUCAGAUCUCCUUUCUUUCUCCUCUUUGCAGCCUCUCUAACAGGCCUGGCUUCCACACUCAGGUGGCUUUGGUGGCCAAGCUACUCUUGGCUGUAUUAUGUGCCCCUUAUUAGAAUGAAAAUUCUUUGAGGGAGAACCUUCUGUCUGAUUUUUCCUGGCACUCAGUGUGUAUUCUCACUGAGAAAGGUAGUUGCUGUUUAGAAUUUAUUACUUUUAAAGACCAGGGAAACUGCUUAUAAAUCCAAGAUGGGAUGGAGAUAGAUCUAUAUCUAUAAUAUUAACUAUAGAUAUUUUUUAUAUAAAUUUAAAUAUUUUUUUCUAGACUGUUGACCCUUUCACCACCAAGCGUGUCAUCAGUGGUCUUGUCAUUUAUUGCCACCUUGAGGGAACCUUGGGCUUGUGGGAAAUUUUAAAUCAUCUGAUGCGUGUAAGUUGCUCUUUGCAGUGGAGGAUCCCCUGUCUUCGGUCUUUAGUUUCUGUGAACUUGGGGGAGCUGUAGUCUGUGGGUGUCAUAGCCUGUUGUUUUUCCGUCCGUCACCGACCGCCUUUGGUUCAUUUAUCCUCUUGUGUGUGAAUCUUUUGUAGAGGGCCCAACGUGUUGUGACUAUAGAAGCCAGAAAAAGUCAUAAAGGAAAUCAUAAUACCAUCAGACUCAGGACAGGUUUUUAUUUAUUUAUUUAUUUUUGCCACUCCUGCCUUUCAUUUUUAUGAAUGGUGGGUUAUCUCCUGCCAUUGGGAUAGUUGGGGAAGGGACAGUUGAAUGAAGGAGUCUUAGUGCAGUGGAGAGUGUCCGAAAACACCCUUCCACCUGCCCAAGGGAGGACAUCCCAUAUUGCAAAGAUGACUCCUGGCUGUACCUUCUGGAAAGGCUGUAGACAUGGCCCCUAGCUCUCUUCCAGCUGGAUUGUCACCCUUAGACCCCCCUCCUCCAGGGAAAUUUUGGAGCUACCCAUGAGUUCGUAACAUUAGGCAUGGCUAGCAAUGCCCUUUCUGUUCUAUCUAGGGAGAAAGGGAGAUGAAAUAAGAAUUUUAUGUCUUAAUAUUCCGUCGCACUUACAGGAAAUGGUUUUAAUUUGAUGGAUGUUGGUUAGCUUUCAAAACUGCUGAAAACCUUUUAUCUUUCAAGAUUUUGACGAUGAAGUUGGUGAGGAUGUUUGUGGCAAUUAUAUAAUCGGUUAUGCAGCACUGUGCAAAGCAUUUUGUCAAACUCAGAGCGUCUCCUGUUACCAGUUUAUUAAUGAAAUACUUAUCUUCAGGGCCAAGGAAGGAAUCUAGUUUCCUACUAGUUUCAUAUUUACUUGUUGGAUAACUGUUGCAGCUACAGUUAACUCUGUUCGGAGCUCACUGGCUUUGUUACUCCUCAAGGUAUAACUCCUCUUAAAAGCAAUUGACUAAAUGUUAGAUGCCUCUGUUAGUCAUCUUCUGCUAAUCAAAACAGCUUUCUUCUUCUCUCUCUCUUUUCAUAGAGAGUUCUGUAAUUCAUCUUUAAGUUCUGGGAAGGGAAUCUUCACCGUGAGCUCUGAUACAAAGUACUGUUUUGAUUACAAUCAGUACUUUAAUAAAACGUAUGUGAAAGUGAGUUACGGUGAGCAUUUGAUAAUGUAUAUAAUUGUCAAAUCACUGUGUUGUACACCUGAAACUAAUACAAUAUUGUAUGUUGAGUAUAUGUCAGUUAAUAAUAAUAAUAAUAAUAAUAAUAAAGGAGUAUUUAGAGGGAGCCCCUGAAUGUCUGAUUGAUCCUGUGUCCCUGAUCUUAAAUCUACUUCCCUUGUUACACAAAGUGACCAUAGAGGCCACCUUGGCACUCGUGCUCUCUGAAUUGAAGUGUCUUUGAAGUUAGGGGAAAAUGAAGGGAUCAGAGUGAGCAGCUGAUGAUUGUGCUGGUUGAAAGCCACUCGUGUGACCUUUAUCAGCAGUGACCAGGGCUGCGGUAGAACGUCCUGCUUGUGGUGAACAUUUCUGCCCACAGCCCUCCCUGGUGCAUAUCUCUUGGGAACACGGAAAAUGUCUUUUGUUGUUCAAAUAGCUGUUAAAUGAAGAUGAAAAGCACAACAAACAUCGUAAAAAUAGUCAUUUGCCAGCUUGUCCAGGCAGAUAAAAAACCUAGUGUCAGGAAAACAGAAAAGAGCAGUGAUUUGAAUAACUUUAUGAGUUCUGAGACUUACGGGGGAAAGAGUACCUACCAGUGGGGAAAAGAGUCUAGUCUGAUAACUUUGAAGAAGACAUAUUGACCAUGUCUGGUUAUAAUGAUUUUCAAAUAAUCCCUUAUGUUAAUAGAGUGCUUUAUUAUCUGUAAAAGAGUUUCACCUGGAUAUCAUAUUUCAUUUUGGAAACGACCCUCUGAGUGGGUAUAAUUACCCUGUUUUACCAAUAAUAUGGAAAUGGAAGCCCAGAAAGAUGAAACCAUCUAAGGCCUUGUAAAGCAUCACAAGUGUGUGUUUUUGUCAUUUUACCAUCUUUUAGUCAUCGUACCCCUGGCUGCUUAAUUUCUAAGAAAAUGUGAGACAAACGCUAUGGUCCUAUCAUAUUUUUAUCUUUCAGUAGCCACAUUGAGGAAGACGGGAUCGUAGGAUUGACAUCAGAAGCCUUGUUCUUUGCCUCAAAAAUUGGAAACCAUAUUUGGGACCGGCGAAUACCCUCCUUCAAGAUACACUUCUUUGAGGGUUUUGUCACCGGUCUUCCUAGAGCUGAAGCUAUAUAAUGAGUUAUUUUUCUUGUUCUCCUUUUCUUGUAGGGCAGUUUUUCUCUUAAACACCAUGCGGUCUGCCUUCCCGAGGGUUAUAUCACCAUUGCCAGUAGGCACAUGUCGCCAUUUAUAAAAGACUAUGGCUUUGUCACAGUCUUGUAGUUGUGCUCGUCUUCAGAGUUUCGGGAUGCUUCCCAUAAUCACACAGGAAGGGUGUGUCUUCACCAUAUAGGCAUAGAGGUCAAGUAUUGUCCUUGGCUUCCUUUCCCAGAACUUCUUAGAGAUGAAUGUCUGAGUAAAGAUACGGAGAAGAACAAGAUUGUUUUGACUGGCAGAACACAAGAAACACAGGCAUCCAGUAUUCUGGAUACCCUAAAUUACUUUUGUACCCUAAAACCAAGAGCUCACUGUAUACACUGUAUGUGAGCCAACUUGACAAUAAACUAUUUAAAUAAAUAAAUACAUAUAUAAAAGGAAAAAAAUAAAUUACUUUUGUAUACAGUAGCUUCUAUCUUGAGGAGUAGCAAAGCCGACUUAUUUGACUGACAUUUUCAAAGGAUAUGGUAAAGAAUGACCUUGAUUGGCAGAAACUGCACUCAGCUUGCAAGCUACACAAAGCUAACGGACACUCCUGCUUGCCUGCAAUUUGUUCUAGAAAUGUCAUUUCCCCCACAACAUAAAAAGAGAAGUUGAGUCAUGAUGUCGUUUUACUUAAUUUUGGUUAAGGAAACAAAUCAAAUCAGCUCCCACACUAUAGUAUGGACUUCUUUCUCUUCUUUUCUACCAUUCUUCUUUUUUUCUUUUUAUUUUUUCCAGUGGACUUGAGACUAAGGAUUAUUCUGAUCUUUCCAUCUCUGGGAAAAUUUCCUAGAAAAGAUGAUCUUCCUUAAGUAAUGACUGGGUUCAUGAAUUUAUAUUAGAAUCAGAUCUUCUUCAAAUUAGAAUGGAUUUCAGUGUUACUUUUCAUGUACUUCUUGUUUAAAAGGGAUUUCAUAGUAAAUCUUCUAGAAUACUACCUAUUAUAUAAUCCUUUUAAAAAUGGUAAUUUGUGCAUACCGAUUCCUGUUAAGGCAGAUGUAACUGUAUUUAGAAGAAUAUUCAAAUUUUGAACAUUUCAGAGGCGAUCCUUCUUCAGAUCUGGUGAGAUAGUACUCAGUAUAUAUCUGUUAAAUGGAAUAAGAAAGAAAAUAUACCACAGAGACAAGGAAGAGAAGUUAAGCUGUAGGACUAUAUUGACUUAAAACUUAUUUUUUUGUGUGUUCUAUCUGUUUAGCUUUGUGAUUAUCUGAAGGAAAAACUUGUCCACAACCACGAACUCUGAUCUAGGAGCUAUUUAUCUUAUUAACUCCUUUGGUAGUGCAUCUGAAAGGAGAUAACACUUUCUUAUGUUGGACUUUUUGAAGUCAUUAUUCAUUUUGCCUUGUGGAGUCAAAGCCCUUUAGAAAUUCAGCUUUCUCAGGAAACCUGCCCCUUAGGUCUUCAAACAGAUCUCCCUUCAAACUCAUGCUCUUGGUGAUUGACCAAGGAUUUCCACCCUUUAAAAACAUAGGAAUAUGUAAAAUCCCUACUAAAAAAUUAACCUAAAAUGACCUUCCAGGGGUGCCUGGCUCAGUUGGCUCGGAUGACUCAGUUGAUUGAGGGUCUGACUCUUGAUUUUGGCUCAGAUCACAAUCUCACGGUUUGUGAGUUUAAGCCCAGUGUGGGGCUCUGUGCUGACAGUGUGGAGCCUGCUUACAAUUCCCUCUCUCCCCCCUCCCCUGCUCGUGCUCUCUCUCUCUCUCUCUC